AGCUCCUCGAGUGGUUGGGACGAUUAUUGGGUCUAAAGCGUCCGUAGCCGGCCGGAAAGUUCUCCGUUAAAUCCAACCGAUCCAAUCGUUGGGCUGCGGGGAAUACUCUUUGGCUUGGGGCGAGGGAGGUCGGCGGUAGUCUCGGGGUAGGGGCGAAAUCCUAUAAUCCCGAGAGGACCACCAGUGGCGAAGGCGGCCGACUAAAGCGCGCCCGACGGUGAGGGACGAAAGCUGGGGGAGCGAACGG
This 247-nucleotide ribosomal RNA is filed under the name uncultured crenarchaeote. RNAcentral describes it as "partial 16S ribosomal RNA". It matches the Rfam family "Archaeal small subunit ribosomal RNA", at positions 478 to 726 of the family's 1478-position model. The record is from RNAcentral. Lineage: Archaea; Thermoproteati; Thermoproteota.